RNAcentral lists this ribosomal RNA (255 nucleotides) under uncultured bacterium. RNAcentral's name for it is "partial 16S ribosomal RNA". It matches the Rfam family "Bacterial small subunit ribosomal RNA", at positions 524 to 776 of the family's 1533-position model. The record is from RNAcentral.
UACAGAGGCCCCAAGCGUUACUGAGAAUCACUGGGUUUAAAGGGUGCGUAGGUGGCGCGUUAAGUCUGUUGUGAAAGCCCUGGGCUCAACCCAGGAACUGCUUCGGAUACUGGCGCGCUUGAGGCUAGUAGGGGUCACUGGAACUGACGGUGGAGCGGUGAAAUGCGUAGAUAUCGCUUGGAACGCCGAAGGUGAAAACAGAACUGCUGGGGUUGCGGCCGACGCUGAGACACGAAAGCCAGGGGAGCGAACGGG